This 253-nucleotide ribosomal RNA is filed under the name uncultured bacterium. RNAcentral describes it as "partial 16S ribosomal RNA". It matches the Rfam family "Bacterial small subunit ribosomal RNA", at positions 524 to 776 of the family's 1533-position model. The record is from RNAcentral.
UACGUAGGGAGCAAGCGUUGUCCGGAAUCAUUGGGCGUAAAGCGCGCGUAGGUGGCUUCAUAAGUCCGCUGUGAAAGUCAAAGGCUCAACCUUUGAAAGCCGGUGGAUACUGUGAAGCUAGAGUACGGAAGAGGCGAGUGGAAUUCCUGGUGUAGCGGUGGAAUGCGUAGAGAUGUGGAGGAACACCUGUGGCGAAGGCGGCCCCCUGGUUGGAUACUGACGCUGAUACGCGAAAGCGUGGGGAGCAAACAGG